AUGGCUCAGAAUCAACGCUGGCGGCGUGCCUAACACAUGCAAGUCGAACGAGAAAGUCCGCAAGGAUGAGUACAGUGGCGCACGGGUGAGUAACACGUGGAUAACCUGCCCUGGAGUGGGGGAUAACAUCCCGAAAGGGGUGCUAAUACCGCAUAACACCCUAGUUGGAAGACAGGGGUUAAAAGGAGCGAUUCGCUCCGGGAGGGGUCCGCGCCUGAUUAGCAGUUGGUGAGGUAAGAGCUCACCAAGGCUUCGAUCAGUAGCCGUCCUGAGAGGGAGCACGGCCACACUGGAACUGAGACACGGUCCAGACUCCUACGGGAGGCAGCAGUGGGGAAUUUUUGGCAAUGGGGGGAAAAACCCCCUGACCAAGCAACGCCGCGUGGGUGAUGAAGUAUCUUGGUACGUAAAACCCUUUCGGCAGGGACGAAUCCAAUUGACGGUACCUGCGGAAGAAGCUCCGGCCAACUCCGUGCCAGCCGCCGC
Molecule: ribosomal RNA, 486 nt
Filed under: uncultured bacterium
Lineage: Bacteria
Description: bacterial SSU rRNA
Rfam family: Bacterial small subunit ribosomal RNA
Source: RNAcentral